Long non-coding RNA from Oreochromis niloticus (Nile tilapia), 406 nucleotides. RefSeq lists it as uncharacterized. Lineage: Eukaryota; Metazoa; Chordata; Actinopteri; Cichliformes; Cichlidae. The transcript has 3 exons. The record is from RefSeq and is a predicted model, not a curated record.
UUAUCCCUUUUGAAGAUGUUGCAAAGGAGUGGGCUGUGUGAUGAGCCAGAUGGUUUCCAAAUCAACUCUAGUAUGCAGCCCAACAAAGAGGACCAGGAGCUAUUAGAAUGAGUUUACCUGCCAGACAGAGACUGAGGCCGUAGGUCCGCUGUAUCAAAUAUCCAGAGCCAUCCUGCCUCCCUGGCAUCUAAUUACUGAUACAAAUCAUCCACAGAUAAUGUAUUCCCGUUUGUGAUUUGCAUAUAAUUGAUGAUAAUGCUGUAUAUAUUGUGGGCUGUUGGUGCUUUAAAACAAUGUCUGCAUUUGGCAAUAAUGAUCUGAGGAGAUUAUAAACAUAAAUCAGCAGGGUGUCAGAAGCAAGGAACUGUUUGGCAGUGUAUCAAUUCAAGACAUUUGUGACAUUUGU